AGCGUCACUAUAGUCCACACGCCGCCUUCAGUUUAUUCGCAGUCGAAGGGAGGAGAGCUAGAUAAUACGCACCAGUGUAUUGUAGUGGUGCUAGUAUAGCAGACUAUUUGGGUUUCAGACCUUGUAUAAUUCUCGAAUUCCUCCUGAGGGAUAGAGAAUAUUUGGACACUGGGAACACGUCGGCGCACCUAGCCUACGGCAGCAAUGAAUUCACGCGGUUUCCGGUUCUUCGUCGCUAUCUCUGAGCUGAAGAAGACUGUAACAGUAUGUAUAACGUUAGUAGCUAACUAGAGCAGUCGACUGUUUUCAUACCUGGGUUUGCAGAAAAGUAAAGCAUGACAACGUCCUCCGCGGGGUAAAACUACGACUGACUAUUAUGUUAUGAGAUGAAAUCCUGCGACCAGUGAGGUCUGACCGCCCGAGAACCUGCCCAUUUGACCCCAUCCCCUCCACCCUUCUCCAGACUAUCUCUGGAGACCUUCUCCCAUACCUCACUUCCUUCAUCAACUCAUUCCUGACCACUUGCUGCGUCCCCUCUGACUUCAAAAUGGCCCGCGUCGCUCCCCUCCUCAAGAAACCAGCACAUGACUCAUCUGACGUCAAAAACUAUAGACCGAUCUAUCUGCUGCCAUCGAUACCGUGAACCAUCAGAUCCUCCUCUCCACCCUCUCAGGGCUGGGAUCUCAGGCUCUGCACACUAUUAUAUUGCAUCCAACCUGGCAGACCGCUCCUACCAGGUGGCAACACGCAUCUCUGCGUGCCUGGCAGAUAUCUCAAAUUGGAUGUCGGCCCACCACCUCAAGCUCAAACAUGACAAGAUGGAGCUGCUCUUCCUUUCAGUAAGGCCUGCACGCUCAAAGACCUAUCCAUCACGGUUGACCACUCCACAGUGUCACCCUCCCAGAAUGCAAAUAACCUUGGCUUGACCCUGGACAACCGUCAUUCUCUGCAAACAUCACAGCAGCAACUCACUCCUGCAGGUUCAGGCUCUACAACAUCCAUGGAAUAUGACCCUGAAUAAUACAGGAAACGGUGCAUGUUGUAAUCCAGGGACUUGUCAUCUCCCAUAUGGACUAC
Long non-coding RNA from Oncorhynchus mykiss (rainbow trout), 1077 nucleotides. RefSeq lists it as uncharacterized. Lineage: Eukaryota; Metazoa; Chordata; Actinopteri; Salmoniformes; Salmonidae. The record is from RefSeq and is a predicted model, not a curated record.